RNAcentral lists this ribosomal RNA (254 nucleotides) under uncultured bacterium. RNAcentral describes it as "partial 16S ribosomal RNA". It matches the Rfam family "Bacterial small subunit ribosomal RNA", at positions 524 to 776 of the family's 1533-position model. The record is from RNAcentral.
UACGUAGGGGGCAAGCGUUGUUCGGAUUUACUGGGCGUAAAGGGUGUGUAGGCGGUUGUUUAAGUUUGGUGUGAAAUCUCCCGGCUCAACUGGGAGGGUGCGCCGAAUACUGAAUGACUUGGAGUGCGGGAGAGGAGAGUGGAAUUCCUGGUGUAGCGGUGAAAUGCGUAGAUAUCAGGAGGAACACCGGUGGUGUAGACGGCUCUCUGGACCGUAACUGACGCUGAGACACGAAAGCGUGGGUAGCAAACAGG